AGAUGAGUCUGCGUCUGAUUAGCUAGUUGGUGGGGUAACGGCUUACCAAGGCGACGAUCAGUAGUCGGCCUGAGAGGGUGACCGGCCACAUUGGGACUGAGACACGGCCCAAACUCCUACGGGAGGCAGCAGCGGGGAAUCUUCCGCAAUGGGCGAAAGCCUGACGGAGCAACGCCGCGUGAUCGAUGAAGGCCUUCGGGUUGUAAAGAUCUGUUGACAGGGACGAAUAAGCCAUGCGAAUAGUUUGGUGUAUGACGGUACCUGUUUAGAAAGCUCCGGCUAACUACGUGCCAGCAGCCGCGGUAAUACGUAGGGAGCAAGCGUUGUCCGGAAUUACUGGGCGUAAAGGGCGCGUAGGUGGGUGCUUAAGUCAGGUGUGAAAACUCUGGGCUCAACCUGGAGACUGCACUUGAAACUGGGUAUCUUGAGGGCAGGAGAGGAAAGUGGAAUUCCUAGUGUAGCGGUGAAAUGCGUAGAUAUUAGGAGGAACACCAGUGGCGAAGGCGACUUUCUGGACUGUACCUGACGCUGAGGCGCGAAAGCGUGGGUAGCGAACGGGAUUAGAUACCCUGGUAGUCCACGCCGUAAACGAUGA
RNAcentral lists this ribosomal RNA (595 nucleotides) under uncultured bacterium. RNAcentral's name for it is "bacterial SSU rRNA". It matches the Rfam family "Bacterial small subunit ribosomal RNA", at positions 223 to 812 of the family's 1533-position model. The record is from RNAcentral.